Molecule: ribosomal RNA, 248 nt
Filed under: uncultured bacterium
Lineage: Bacteria
Description: partial 16S ribosomal RNA
Rfam family: Bacterial small subunit ribosomal RNA
Source: RNAcentral
AUACGUAGGGGGCGAGCGUUGUUCGGAAUUAUUGGGCGUAAAGCGCGUGUAGGCGGUCUUUUUAAGUCUGAUGUGAAAGCCCCGGGCUCAACCUGGGAAGUGCAUUGGAAACUGGGAGACUUGAGUACGGGAGAGGAGAGUGGAAUUCCUAGUGUAGGAGUGAAAUCCGUAGAUAUUAGGAGGAACACCGGUGGCGAAGGCGGCUACCUGGACCGAUAUUGACGCUGAGACGCGAAAGCGUGGGGAGC